Molecule: ribosomal RNA, 1346 nt
Filed under: uncultured bacterium
Lineage: Bacteria
Description: partial 16S ribosomal RNA
Rfam family: Bacterial small subunit ribosomal RNA
Source: RNAcentral
GACGAACGCUGGCGGCGUGCUUAACACAUGCAAGUCGAACGGAAAGGCCCUGCUUUUGUGGGGUGCUCGAGUGGCGAACGGGUGAGUAACACGUGAGUAACCUGCCCUUGACUUUGGGAUAACUUCAGGAAACUGGGGCUAAUACCGGAUAGGAGCUCCUGCUGCAUGGUGGGGGUUGGAAAGUUUCGGCGGUUGGGGAUGGACUCGCGGCUUAUCAGCUUGUUGGUGGGGUAGUGGCUUACCAAGGCUUUGACGGGUAGCCGGCCUGAGAGGGUGACCGGCCACAUUGGGACUGAGAUACGGCCCAGACUCCUACGGGAGGCAGCAGUGGGGAAUAUUGCACAAUGGGCGGAAGCCUGAUGCAGCAACGCCGCGUGCGGGAUGACGGCCUUCGGGUUGUAAACCGCUUUCGCCUGUGACGAAGCGUGAGUGACGGUAAUGGGUAAAGAAGCACCGGCUAACUACGUGCCAGCAGCCGCGGUGAUACGUAGGGUGCGAGCGUUGUCCGGAUUUAUUGGGCGUAAAGGGCUCGUAGGUGGUUGAUCGCGUCGGAAGUGUAAUCUUGGGGCUUAACCCUGAGCGUGCUUUCGAUACGGGUUGACUUGAGGAAGGUAGGGGAGAAUGGAAUUCCUGGUGGAGCGGUGGAAUGCGCAGAUAUCAGGAGGAACACCAGUGGCGAAGGCGGUUCUCUGGGCCUUUCCUGACGCUGAGGAGCGAAAGCGUGGGGAGCGAACAGGCUUAGAUACCCUGGUAGUCCACGCUGUAAACGGUGGGUACUAGGUGUGGGGUCCAUUCCACGGGUUCCGUGCCGUAGCUAACGCUUUAAGUACCCCGCCUGGGGAGUACGGCCGCAAGGCUAAAACUCAAAGGAAUUGACGGGGCCCCGCACAAGCGGCGGAGCAUGCGGAUUAAUUCGAUGCAACGCGUAGAACCUUACCUGGGUUUGACAUGGAUCGGGAGUGCUCAGAGAUGGGUGUGCCUCUUUUGGGGUCGGUUCACAGGUGGUGCAUGCCUGUCGUCAGCUCGUGUCGUGAGAUGUUGGGUUAAGUCCCGCAACGAGCGCAACCCUUGUUCACUGUUGCCAGCACGUUAUGGUGGGGACUCAGUGGAGACCGCCGGGGUCAACUCGGAGGAAGGUGGGGAUAACGUCAAGUCAUCAUGCCCCUUAUGUCCAGGGCUUCACGCAUGCUACAAUGGCUGGUACAGAGAGUGGCGAGCCUGUGAGGGUGAGCGAAUCUCGGAAAGCCGGUCUCAGUUCGGAUUGGGGUCUGCAACUCGACCUCAUGAAGUCGGAGUCGCUAGUAAUCGCAGAUCAGCAACGCUGCGGUGAAUACGUUCCCGGGGCU